This 327-nucleotide ribosomal RNA is filed under the name uncultured eukaryote. RNAcentral describes it as "partial 18S ribosomal RNA". It matches the Rfam family "Eukaryotic small subunit ribosomal RNA", at positions 1470 to 1796 of the family's 1831-position model. The record is from RNAcentral.
CCCUUAGAUGUUCUGGGCCGCACACGCGCUACACUGAAGGAGGCAGCGUGUACUCCUGGAUCGAAAGAUUUGGGUAACCCGCGAAUCUCCUUCGUGCUAGGGAUUGAGGUUUGCAAUUAUCCUUCAUGAACGAGGAAUUCCCAGUAAGUGCAAGUCAUAAGCUUGCGCUGACUACGUCCCUGCCCUUUGUACACACCGCCCGUCGCUACUACCGAUUGAAUGAUUUAGUGAGGACUUCGGACUGGGACCGAUGCGGCUUUCCGGCUGCGUCGGUAUUCUGGAAAGAUGUCCAAACUGUAUCAUUUAGAGGAAGUAAAAGUCGUAACA